This is a long non-coding RNA of Podarcis raffonei (Aeolian wall lizard), 225 nucleotides long. RefSeq lists it as uncharacterized. The record is from RefSeq and is a predicted model, not a curated record. The transcript has 3 exons. NCBI's taxonomy places the organism in Eukaryota, Metazoa, Chordata, Lepidosauria, Squamata, Lacertidae.
UGAGCUACUGAAGGAAGGAACAACUGCAGGAACAAACAGAGGAAAAGAGAAGAAAAACUGGCUGAGGCACCACGGUAUCCAGACAGGGCACUGCUGGAAGGACUCCAGGAUGAAACACCACUCAAAAUGAGAUAAGAUGGUCCUGUCAACAAAAGAAGGAUGACAUAAGGUGCCAAUUCAAAUCAGCAGUUAAAAUGGCGGGAGGCUUGACAUUCGCAGAACGUA